Molecule: ribosomal RNA, 257 nt
Filed under: uncultured Glomeraceae
Lineage: Eukaryota; Fungi; Glomeromycota; Glomeromycetes; Glomerales; Glomeraceae
Description: partial large subunit ribosomal RNA
Rfam family: Eukaryotic large subunit ribosomal RNA
Source: RNAcentral
GAAAGAUGAAAAGAACUUUGAAAAGAGAGUUAAACAGUACGUGAAAUUGUUGAAAGGGAAACGAUUGAAGCCAGUCGUACUGACGGGAAAUCAACUUCUCGAGUGCUUGUCGUGAAUGACGUUGAGCUUCACGGCCUUCGUUGCUUGCGUUAUGGUGCUUUUGAGGUGUACUUUUCCGUAUGGUAAGUCAACAUCGAUUUUGAUCGUCAUAAAAUGAUCGGAGGAAUGUGGCUCUGAUCUUGUAUUGGAGUGUUAUA